RNAcentral lists this microRNA precursor (68 nucleotides) under Pelodiscus sinensis (Chinese soft-shelled turtle). RNAcentral describes it as "miRNA (ENSPSIG00000020230.1)". The record is from RNAcentral. Lineage: Eukaryota; Metazoa; Chordata; Testudines; Trionychidae.
AAGGUCUGAUUCUGCACCACUGAAGUCAAUGGCACUUUUGAACUGACAUCUGUGGGAGCAGGAUCAGA